GGAGCGUUAUGAAACAAGAUUUUUGUCCUUACAAUUCAACCCCAUUCAUAGGUUGGGCCUACACUAUUUGAAUCUAAUUAUUUUGCAGCUGGAUUUCCUCAAACUUGAGAGGCCCAAUAAGAAACCUCUUUUGCGCGCGUGCAGGUGAUGCUUAAAAAUAUGAAAAAGAGAUGAGGACUUUUAUUUCUUUGUUGUAUAUUAAGCGCAGAUAUUACAUGGUGAAGUCCUUGCUUUGGGCCUCUAGGAUAUUUCAAAACUAAUACCCAUGUUUGGUGCUAUAUAAUAUAUAGUUACAAA
RNAcentral lists this unclassified non-coding RNA (297 nucleotides) under Hevea brasiliensis (rubber tree). Lineage: Eukaryota; Viridiplantae; Streptophyta; Magnoliopsida; Malpighiales; Euphorbiaceae. The record is from RNAcentral.